Molecule: transfer RNA, 74 nt
Filed under: Sinorhizobium phage ort11
Lineage: Duplodnaviria; Heunggongvirae; Uroviricota; Caudoviricetes; Schitoviridae
Rfam family: tRNA
About the family: Transfer RNA (tRNA) molecules are approximately 80 nucleotides in length. Their secondary structure includes four short double-helical elements and three loops (D, anti-codon, and T loops).
Source: Rfam by way of RNAcentral
CGGAGUGUAGCGCAGUCUGGUAGCGCAUUGGUUUUGGGAACCAAGGGUCACAAGUUCGAAUCUUGUCACUCCGA